AUGAACGCUGGCGGCGUGCCUAAUACAUGCAAGUCGAGCGAACGGACGAGAAGCUUGCUUCUCUGAUGUUAGCGGCGGACGGGUGAGUAACACGUGGAUAACCUACCUAUAAGACUGGGAUAACUUCGGGAAACCGGAGCUAAUACCGGAUAAUAUUUUGAACCGCAUGGUUCAAAAGUGAAAGACGGUCUUGCUGUCACUUAUAGAUGGAUCCGCGCUGCAUUAGCUAGUUGGUAAGGUAACGGCUUACCAAGGCAACGAUGCAUAGCCGACCUGAGAGGGGGAGCGCCCACACGCAGACAGAGACACGGGCCAGACCCCCGCGGGGGGCAGAAGGGGGGGAUCUUCCGCGAGGGGCGAAAACCUGACAGAGAGACGCCGCGGGAGAGAGGAAGGUCUUCGGGUCUUAAAACUCUUUUUUUUGGGAAAAACAUAUAUGUAAAAAACUCUGCGCACUUUUGGGGGGCCAAAAAAAAGAACCCCCCCAAAAACCG
Molecule: ribosomal RNA, 494 nt
Filed under: uncultured bacterium
Lineage: Bacteria
Description: partial 16S ribosomal RNA
Rfam family: Bacterial small subunit ribosomal RNA
Source: RNAcentral